Molecule: non-coding RNA, 82 nt
Organism: Danio aesculapii
Lineage: Eukaryota; Metazoa; Chordata; Actinopteri; Cypriniformes; Danionidae
Source: the annotation of a RefSeq genome assembly
GUAGUCGUAGCCGAGUGGUUAAGGUGAUAGACUAUAAAUCCAUUGGGGUUUCACUGUGCAGGUUCGAAUCCUGCAGACUACG